CAGCCGCCACGGGAAUACGAAGGGGGCUAGCGUUGCUCGGAAUUACUGGGCGUAAAGGGCGCGUAGGCGGACAGUUCAGUCGGGGGUGAAAGCCCGGGGCUCAACCUCGGAAUUGCCUUCGAUACUGGCUGUCUUGAGUAUGAGAGAGGUGUGUGGAACUCCGAGUGUAGAGGUGAAAUUCGUAGAUAUUCGGAAGAACACCAGUGGCGAAGGCGACACACUGGCUCAUUACUGACGCUGAGGCGCGAAAGCGUGGGGAGCAAACAGGAUUAGAUACCCCUGUAGUCCCUGUCUCUUAUAC
This 301-nucleotide ribosomal RNA is filed under the name uncultured bacterium. RNAcentral describes it as "partial 16S ribosomal RNA". It matches the Rfam family "Bacterial small subunit ribosomal RNA", at positions 509 to 807 of the family's 1533-position model. The record is from RNAcentral.